GAUUUUCAAAAUUUAGAUCUUUAGAAGGUGGCAUUCCGAAUUUCCGGCUCAAGUCUGUGAGCCUUGAUGUGGGUGAAUUGGAGCCGGAGGGGAUUCAGAGUGGCCAUGGUGAACACUUUUGGGUUUGAAAAAGAGACUGGUUUUCUUAAGUUAUUUUUAAUUACUAUUUAAUUUUUGGGUUGUAAUAA
Gossypium arboreum is the source of this 188-nucleotide long non-coding RNA. RefSeq lists it as uncharacterized. Lineage: Eukaryota; Viridiplantae; Streptophyta; Magnoliopsida; Malvales; Malvaceae. The record is from RefSeq and is a predicted model, not a curated record. The transcript is spliced from 2 exons.